UGGGGAAUAUUGCACAAUGGGCGCAAGCCUGAUGCAGCCAUGCCGCGUGUGUGAAGAAGGCCUUCGGGUUGUAAAGCACUUUCAGCGGGGAGGAAGGCGAUAAGGUUAAUAACCUCAUCGAUUGACGUUACCCGCAGAAGAAGCACCGGCUAACUCCGUGCCAGCAGCCGCGGUAAUACGGAGGGUGCAAGCGUUAAUCGGAAUUACUGGGCGUAAAGCGCACGCAGGCGGUCUGUCAAGUCGGAUGUGAAAUCCCCGGGCUCAACCUGGGAACUGCAUUGGAAACUGGCAGGCUAGAGUCUUGUAGAGGGGGGUAGAGUUCCAGGUGUAGCGGUGAAAUGCGUAGAGAUCUGGAGGAAUACCGGUGGCGAAGGCGGCCCCCUGGACAAAGACUGACGCUCAGGUGCGAAAGCGUGGGGAGCAAACAGG
RNAcentral lists this ribosomal RNA (429 nucleotides) under Chloroflexota bacterium. RNAcentral's name for it is "Chloroflexi bacterium partial 16S ribosomal RNA". It matches the Rfam family "Bacterial small subunit ribosomal RNA", at positions 355 to 776 of the family's 1533-position model. Lineage: Bacteria; Bacillati; Chloroflexota. The record is from RNAcentral.